Long non-coding RNA from Carassius gibelio (silver crucian carp), 1824 nucleotides. RefSeq lists it as uncharacterized. The record is from RefSeq and is a predicted model, not a curated record. Lineage: Eukaryota; Metazoa; Chordata; Actinopteri; Cypriniformes; Cyprinidae. The transcript has 3 exons.
AAUAAAAUCACUUUCAAAAAUAAUCGUACGUAAUUCAAAACAUUUGUGUGUAAUUUUAAUAUACUCGUGCGUAAUUUAAAACUAUUGUACGUAAUUCUGUUUUUUGUCAGAGUUGGAUUCCAAAAUCUACGGCCACGACGGUUUACAGAUACGCGAUUUUGUGUGUUUUUUUAUAGUACAACUAUAAAAUGUACGACUGUGACAGUUUACAGACACGGCGCUUGUUUUCACAAUAGCUCUGUUAUACACACGACAUGCAAAUUACGACCACGAAAUGCGGUGUGUGAAACGACUGUCAAAAAUACGUCAUUAAGGUCACAGGCAUUACUAUGCGAGGGAAGAUGAAUUGAUUCAACGAAGUGCGCAUGCGCCCUACCAAAGUUUUAAACCACUGGCGCCGAAAUGGCGGAUCAACAGCCAAGCGCUUACACCUCGUCUCAGGAAACUUGUGUUGGGGAGGAUUCAAUAUCUGUUGAGGCUCAUGUGAAUGUGUUAUAAAGUGAAACACAUCCAGACACAUGGCUGUCAAAGACCACACGACAGGAACAUUCUCCUGGAGACGCUGAGAAAGCACUGAAGGAAUGUCUGAGGAGGAUGUACUCAAAAAAUACACAUACUUCAGGACACCUGCUGGAGGGGACCCGUCUACACCUUUCCUACCGUACACCUGAUGGAUACUGACUGUAAAAUGUCAAUCAUAGUUCGAGGGCUCAGUGUGGUGACAGAAGAUGGAACAGAUGAGUGUCAGUGCACCAGUCUUGAUGAAGCUUCAUAACAGCCUUCUGGAUGUAUUCUGCUUUCAACAUUGCAUAUCCACCACACAUGAGAAAGACACUGACUUUCCUUCAGAGGGACAUUGUCAACAUUAGAAGAUGGAGACAAGCACUGCCAGUAACUUUACUCUGAAUGAUUAGCCUCUUUUAUUAGAUCCUCAUGCCUUGACUGUACCAUUGCACAAAGUGCACUCGAAGGACAUUCACUCUUUUGAAGUUAACCCAACACUUUGGAGUUGUACAUGCACAUGAACCAAAUAGCUUGCUCUAUUCUUUUUUCUAUUCUAUCUGUUUUCUUUUUAUUUAUUACAUUAUUUAAAAGCCCUUGCUACAUGUAAUGUGUUAAGCUAACUGAGACUUGUUAAAGCUCUUAUAUAUCAUUGCUCUUUUUGUUUUUUGAUUGCUUCAACUCUGUCCUCAUCUGUAAGUCGAUUUGAAUAAAAGCGUCUGCUAAAUGAAUAAAUGUAAAUGUAAAUAUUAGUAUAACCUGUGGUAUAGAUGAGUGCCAGUCAACUUUUUUCUGAUUCCAUUCUGUUAGAAACCAUGCACAGGAAGCAUAUGUAGUACUUUUGUUACUCAGUGAAUAGUCAGUAGUACAGUUGUAUUAUAAUAUAAUGGAGAAGGAUCUGGCUGCAGACUUGCAGUCUCAGACACUUGUGCUUCUUUUUUUAUUGGAUAUUUUAUUCUACUUAUUGGUUACUUCUUGUUUGAAUCUCUCAACAUUUGUUUUUCUCUUGUGUAGGUAUGGUUGACUGGAAGUCUGUCAGUCCAGAUGUGAGGAAGACACAGAGUGGAGCUGGAGCUCAGCAGAUGUGUGAUGCUGUAGAUACUGUGGUCUUGGAAAGAAGGGAUCUUCACAGCUUUCUAUUCAGACGAAGAGUUUGCUGGAUUCUGUUCUAUGGACUGCUACUACAGAAUGAAUGAAUGAAUGAGUGGUCUAUCUAUCUAUCUAUCUAUCUAUCUAUCUAUCUAUCUAUCUAUCUAUCUAUCUAUCUUUUUACUUGAAUUGGUGAAUGAAACUGAAAGCUAAAUAAAUGUUUUAGUGGAUAAA